Molecule: long non-coding RNA, 475 nt
Organism: Mauremys mutica (yellowpond turtle)
Lineage: Eukaryota; Metazoa; Chordata; Testudines; Geoemydidae
Exons: 4
Source: RefSeq, a predicted model, not a curated record
UUAAGAUCCUUCUAGAAGGCAGUGGAGACAGCUACAUUGAUUGGGACACCUGAAGCCAAUCAAGGGCUGGCUGGAACCAGUUAAAAAGCCUCCCAGUUAGUCAGUGAGGUGUGGGCAUCAGGAGCUAUAGGAGGGAGCUGUGCUGUUGGAGGAAUGAAGCAGUACAAAUCCAUAUCAGGUGUAAGGAAGGAGGCCCUGAGGAACAGACACCCCAGUGGAAUGAUGGUUCAAUGUGAUGAACAGUGUUGGGAGUGAAGAGAAAGGUCACCAUCAAAAAGAACGUAGACACCAUUAAAGGUGUUCUUUUCCUCAAAGGACACUAGAAGGCAAGCCUACAACGACUGGGAGAUCAUAAACAAAAAAAUGAAAAAGCAAGGUGAAAGUGACAGGGCAGGUACUUGGUUUGCCAACCACAGAAAGGAGGAUUUCUAUGGAGUAGCUGACCCUGAAGAGAAGCGUGACUUUGCUGGAGCUG